RNAcentral lists this ribosomal RNA (125 nucleotides) under Fusobacterium naviforme. RNAcentral describes it as "partial 23S ribosomal RNA". It matches the Rfam family "Bacterial large subunit ribosomal RNA", at positions 1 to 126 of the family's 2925-position model. Lineage: Bacteria; Fusobacteriati; Fusobacteriota; Fusobacteriia; Fusobacteriales; Fusobacteriaceae. The record is from RNAcentral.
GGUUAAACAGAAAGAGCGUAGGGUGGAUGCCUUGGCACUAAGAGCCGAAGAAGGACGUGACAAGCUGCGAAAAGCUGCGGGUAGGAGCAAAUAUCCAAUGAUCCGCAGAUAUCCGAAUGGGGAAA